Molecule: long non-coding RNA, 1181 nt
Filed under: Gallus gallus (chicken)
Lineage: Eukaryota; Metazoa; Chordata; Aves; Galliformes; Phasianidae
Description: long non-coding RNA NONGGAT002771
Source: RNAcentral
GUGAUAUUGCUUGGAUGCAUUCUUUUCCACCUUUUCUGCUAUCUUAUUCCUGGUGUUGUCUUGCUAGCCCAUGAGGAAGGACUUGCUGUGCUACUCCUAGCCCUUAUGCUAUGUCAUUUUUAUUUGUCUCUUCCAUGAGGCUGAGGAAUUCAACUUCCUGUAUGAGAAACAAGCACCAGGGCAGUGAGCCUGAUGUCCUCCUCCUCUCUUGGUGAGCACGGUGCCUCCCUGGCUCCACUCUUUGCACCGCCAGAACCCACUGCUGGAGUCUCCUCAGCCAACAGCAGGGAGGAAACCGAAGAGUCAUUGGGAGGGGCUGUAAAUUAAAUCCAGGCAGUAAUCGCAGGAGCAGGAAUCGGAAAAGCACAAAUAAAUACAGCAUAUAAAUAGGAGAUCGCGCUUCCUGCUAGGAGCUUAUCAUUUCUGCCAGCGCAGCUCCAGCAGAGCACUCCCCCUCGCUGGCAGUCCUGCUGGGCAAUCUCCAUUCUCUGUUCCCUGGGCAGUGCCAUUCCCUCCUCACUGCUAAGCUGCUCUGGGUAUUUGUACAAGUAACUCAAUAAAGGAUUACCUCCCAGAACGUCUGUAUUGUAGCAGGCCCUGUGCAGCUCUCAUUCAGCUGUGAGAUCUGUAGGAUAGGCAACAGCGUCCACAGUGCUUUUUAUACAGAGCUGAGUACAUCGUCAAUACUGCACAAAUAAUAAAUGCAUGCAACUCAAAGGAAUGCUCAGAUCUUCUUCAAGGAGGGAUAUGUGUAUUUAACAGCCCAUUCUCGGCACUUGAAGGAGUUCAUGCAUCUCUGCUCAGCAGUCUUUCAUUGAUUACAGUACAUCCCUUUUUCUGGCUCAUGACCGAUUUCUGAUCUGCACUCAUGUUUAAGGAAGGACUUAACACAGGGCUGCAUGGCAGGAGUUCUUACUGUAAAUGGGACUACCUGCACAAUAAUUAUGGCAGCAAAAAUAGAACAGGAGCAAUAAUCAUUAUGCUGUUUGUACUGCAUACAUAACACAGCUUUUAUAUACAGAGAUACAUACAUCUUUAUUGCCAGCAUAGAUCUCUCUGCCUUUGUUGUCUUUACACAGUUACUUGUUUACUGGUCAGAACAUGCCUGUAUGGUCUGGAUUCUCCCCAUGUUGAAAAAUGUAGAAGUAAUGGAUUUAGUUGCUAUUUCCCAUUAAACAAAU